Asparagus officinalis (garden asparagus) is the source of this 625-nucleotide long non-coding RNA. RefSeq lists it as uncharacterized. The transcript has 3 exons. The record is from RefSeq and is a predicted model, not a curated record. Lineage: Eukaryota; Viridiplantae; Streptophyta; Magnoliopsida; Asparagales; Asparagaceae.
UAAAGGGUUUUUCGGCGUUGAGGCUUGAUAUCCCAGGCGCAUGGCAAAUGCCUCAGGGCGGUGUAGAUGAAGGGGAGGAUCCAAGAGGUGCUGCAAUUAGAGAAUUGAGAGAAGAGACUGGAGUCACAUCCGCCGAGAUUCUUGAUGAGGUUUGUUUGCUUGUAAAUUAAUCACAGAUCGAUAGAAAAUGUAAACUAUUAUUAUCAUUGUUGUUGUUGUUGGAUUCAUGUAGUAUCCUGUACUCAGUCAUGUUUUCGGGGAAAUGUGACAAUGUGAUUUGCUGCCAAUUUUCUAAAGAUAAUAGAAAGGAACAGUGUGCCCAUGGGAUCAAGAAUACUUAUUUCUUUUCUUUAGAUAUAUAAUUGUAAGUAUCUCAUAAUGCUUAUCUCAGGCCGCAUGGUCAAGUUCCGUUAAAAGAGAUGAAAACAGACUGGCAUGCUUGUCUUGACAACAAAAUGGGAUUCAAGAAUCUUGGUCCAACUGAACCUCCUUUACUUGUGACUCUCAAUCCUCCCUGUACUCCUAAGCAUACUGAACUUAAAUGGAGGACAAGUCAUCCUGUUCCUUCAGUGGCAGCAUCAAAAGCUUCACUUGAGCUUGAAAAAAAUUCAGGGCAAAAGAUGAG